CCUACGGGAGGCAGCAGUGGGGAAUUUUGGACAAUGGGCGCAAGCCUGAUCCAGCCAUGCCGCGUGAGUGAAGAAGGCCUUCGGGUUGUAAAGCUCUUUCGGCUGGGACGAAAAGGUCCGCGCUAACACCGCGGAUCCAUGACGGUACCAGCAGAAGAAGCACCGGCUAACUACGUGCCAGCAGCCGCGGUAAUACGUAGGGUGCAGGCGUUAAUCGGAAUUACUGGGCGUAAAGCGUGCGCAGGCGGUCUGCUAAGACAGGUGUGAAAUCCCCGGGCUUAACCUGGGAACUGCGCUUGUAACUGGCAGGCUGGAGUGUGGCAGAGGGGGGUGGAAUUCCACGUGUAGCAGUGAAAUGCGUAGAGAUGUGGAGGAACACCGAUGGCGAAGGCAGCCCCCUGGGCUAACACUGACGCUCAUGCACGAAAGCGUGGGGAGCA
This 440-nucleotide ribosomal RNA is filed under the name uncultured bacterium. RNAcentral describes it as "bacterial SSU rRNA". It matches the Rfam family "Bacterial small subunit ribosomal RNA", at positions 338 to 770 of the family's 1533-position model. The record is from RNAcentral.